RNAcentral lists this transfer RNA (72 nucleotides) under Camelus bactrianus (Bactrian camel). It matches the Rfam family "tRNA". Rfam says of the family: Transfer RNA (tRNA) molecules are approximately 80 nucleotides in length. RNAcentral also lists the same sequence under 2 other names. Lineage: Eukaryota; Metazoa; Chordata; Mammalia; Artiodactyla; Camelidae. The record is from Rfam by way of RNAcentral.
GUGGGAAUAGCUCAGUGGUAGAGUGUGUGCUUAGCAUGCAUGGGUUCCUGGGUUCAAUUCCCAGUACCUCCA